AUACGGAGGAUGCAAGCGUUAUCCGGAUUUAUUGGGUUUAAAGGGUGCGUAGGCUGUUCGGAAAGUCAGGGGUGAAAGCCCGGCGCCUAACGCCGGAACUGCCUUUGAUACUUCCGAGCUGGAAUACGGAUGCCGUGGGAGGAAUGAGUAGUGUAGCGGUGAAAUGCAUAGAUAUUACUCAGAACACCGAUUGCGAAGGCAUCUCACGAAUCCGUCAUUGACGCUGAGGCACGAAAGCGUGGGGAUCAAACAGGAUUAGAUACCCUGGUAGUCCACGCAGUAAACGAUGAUGACUAACCGUCGGCGAUACACAGUCGGUGGCCAAGCGAAAGCGAUAAGUCAUCCACCUGGGGAGUACGUUCGCAAGAAUGAAACUCAAAUGAAUUGGCGGGG
RNAcentral lists this ribosomal RNA (393 nucleotides) under uncultured bacterium. RNAcentral's name for it is "partial 16S ribosomal RNA". It matches the Rfam family "Bacterial small subunit ribosomal RNA", at positions 523 to 918 of the family's 1533-position model. The record is from RNAcentral.